This 117-nucleotide ribosomal RNA is filed under the name Sinocyclocheilus rhinocerous. Lineage: Eukaryota; Metazoa; Chordata; Actinopteri; Cypriniformes; Cyprinidae. The record is from RNAcentral.
AGUAACAGCCAUAUCACCCUGCAGCCCAAGACUGGUUGCCCACUGAAGCUAAGCAGGGUUGAGCCUGGUCAGUACCUGGUUGGGAGACCUCCUGGGAAAACUAGGUUGCUGUUGGAA